AGAAUCAACGCUGGCGGCGUGCCUAACACAUGCAAGUCGAACGAGAAAGUGGAGCAAUCCAUGAGUAAAGUGGCGCACGGGUGAGUAACACGUGACUAACCUACCUUUUAGUGGGGGAUAACCUAGGGAAACCUGGGCUAAUACCGCAUAACACUUACGAGUCAAAGCAGCAAUGCGCUGAAAGGAGGGGUCGCGGCCGAUUAGCUAGUUGGCGGGUAAUGGCCCACAAGGCAGUGAUCGGUA
RNAcentral lists this ribosomal RNA (243 nucleotides) under uncultured bacterium. RNAcentral describes it as "partial small subunit ribosomal RNA". It matches the Rfam family "Bacterial small subunit ribosomal RNA", at positions 26 to 285 of the family's 1533-position model. The record is from RNAcentral.